UGUGGGGGAAGUACGCAAAACAUGGAUCCUCAACCGGGAAAAGGAUUGGCUCUGAGGGGCUGGCCGGGGUCCCAGUCCCCGAACCCGUCGGCUGUCCGUGUACUCGAACGCACCCUAUCCGCGGCGACGAGCGGGUCCCGCGUCCCCGAGAACGGUCCUUCGUGGGGCCUUCGGCGUUCGACGCAGCCAACUCAGAAAAUGGUACGAAUUGACAGAUGGAGGGACCGACUGUUUAAAUUAAAACAAAGCAUAGCGAGUGAGUUCCCUGCCGGAAUGUAGCGCAAAUGUGAAUUUCAGCCCAGUUGCUCUAAUGUCAAAGUGAAGAAAUCAACAGAAGGGGGUAGUGGCGAGGGAGUAACUAAGUUACUGUUGCACAUAUCCUAAUUAGUGACUUGCGCAUGAUGGAUUAAUUGGGUACUAACGUUAACUCACAGACAAACCACUAGCCAAGUGGAACGGGACAGAUCCGCGGGAAAGAAAGACUCCUGUUUAGCUUGACUCUAGUCCGACUUUGUGAAAUGACUUGAAGAGGUUUGUAGUAUAAGUGGGAGCCGAAAGGCGAAAGGUGAAAUCUUACCGAUACAUAUUUUAACCUUUAUUAUCACUAUAUUCCGUGAAGAUCGGAAAAGAGAGCGAGUCACUGACCCCAUGCUUUUUGGACCCCACAUAGAGCUUAGCUUGCAGGCCGAAACCGGCGAAGGUCAGUCACAGCGGUGGGGGGAAUGUGGCUGGAAAGGGCGCACAGCCUGUUAACACAGUAGAACGCAGGGUCUCGAUCUAGUAUGAGCUAAAAGAAGAAACAUGAAAAUCUCCAGUGUAUCGGAACAGAAGGGUAAAAGCUUCGUUAUUGAUAUCUGAUUUCCAGCUAACGUAAUACGAACCUGUGAAAGCGUGGCCGAUGAUACGAAUUCCUUUAGAUUCCUUCGGAAUUCGAAGAUAAAGGUGUCUAGAAAAAGUUACACAGGGAUAACUGGCUUGUGGCAGCCAAACCGUUCAUAGCGACGUUGCUUUUUGAUAUCUCGAUGUCGGCUCUUCCUUAUCAUUGUGAGCAAUUCACCAAAGUGUUGGAUUGUUACUCCCACCAGAUUAGGGAACUGGAUUUGCACAGGUUUAUAUGAAUACCUGAGUCGUGAGACAGGUUAGUUUUACCCUAACUGAUGACAGUGGUCUGCAAAUAGUAAUUCAACCUAAGCAACGAGAGGAACCUUGAUAUUCGCAACACCGGAGUCUCAUUGGUUACCGCUGCUGGUUAAAAGCCAGUGGCGCGAAGCACCGUGCGCUGGAUUAUGACGAACGCCCUCUAAGUCAGAAUCCGGGCUUAGAAGCGACGCAUGCCCCCGCCGUACGCUCAUUCUUUGUCACACGCAGUAGGGCCUGGCCCCCAAGGCACGUUCGUUGGCUAAGUCAUCGCGGCGGAAGAGCCGCGGUGGCCGCCUUGAAGUAACAAUUUCCAUCGAGCGGCGGGUAGAAUCCUUUGCAGACGACUUAAAUACGCGACGGGGUAUUGUAAGUGGCAGAGUGGCCUGCUGCCACGCAUCUCCACUGAGAUAUCAUCCACUUUAGUUCAGCUUA
RNAcentral lists this ribosomal RNA (1572 nucleotides) under Nicotiana attenuata. RNAcentral describes it as "rRNA LSU_rRNA_eukarya". It matches the Rfam family "Eukaryotic large subunit ribosomal RNA", at positions 1903 to 3401 of the family's 3401-position model. Lineage: Eukaryota; Viridiplantae; Streptophyta; Magnoliopsida; Solanales; Solanaceae. The record is from Rfam by way of RNAcentral.